Long non-coding RNA from Hippocampus comes (tiger tail seahorse), 125 nucleotides. RefSeq lists it as uncharacterized. NCBI's taxonomy places the organism in Eukaryota, Metazoa, Chordata, Actinopteri, Syngnathiformes, Syngnathidae. The record is from RefSeq and is a predicted model, not a curated record. The transcript has 3 exons.
UUGUGUAAAUUUCUGUCCGGAAAUAAAAGUCGUGUCAAUAAUAAUUAGCAUAUCAACUCAGCAGCACAUGCACAUUAUAAUGAGAUCUCAUCCAGAUCUGUACUCAAACCAUAAUUGUCAGUUUG